UACGUAGGGUGCAAGCGUUGUCCGGAAUUAUUGGGCGUAAAGAGCUCGUAGGCGGUCUGUCGCGUCAGCUGUGAAAGCCCCGGGCUCAACCUGGGAACUGCAGUUGAUACUGUCCGACUAGAGUACGAGAGAGGGAGGUAGAAUUCCAUGUGUAGCGGUGAAAUGCGUAGAUAUAUGGAGGAAUACCAGUGGCGAAGGCGGCCUCCUGGCUCGAUACUGACGCUGAGGUGCGAAAGCGUGGGGAUCAAACAGG
Molecule: ribosomal RNA, 253 nt
Filed under: uncultured bacterium
Lineage: Bacteria
Description: partial 16S ribosomal RNA
Rfam family: Bacterial small subunit ribosomal RNA
Source: RNAcentral